Molecule: ribosomal RNA, 301 nt
Filed under: uncultured bacterium
Lineage: Bacteria
Description: partial 16S ribosomal RNA
Rfam family: Bacterial small subunit ribosomal RNA
Source: RNAcentral
CAGCAGCCGCGGUAAUACGUAGGUGGCAAGCGUUGUCCGGAAUUAUUGGGCGUAAAGGGCUCGCAGGCAGUUUCUUAAGUCUGAUGUGAAAGCCCCCGGCUCAACCGGGGAGGGUCAUUGGAAACUGGGAAACUUGAGUGCAGAAGAGGAGAGUGGAAUUCCACGUGUAGCGGUGAAAUGCGUAGAGAUGUGGAGGAACACCAGUGGCGAAGGCGACUCUCUGGUCUGUAACUGACGCUGAGGAGCGAAAGCGUGGGGAGCGAACAGGAUUAGAUACCCCUGUAGUCCCUGUCUCUUAUAA